GGGGGAUAACUAUUGGAAACGAUAGCUAAUACCGCAUAACAGUAGAUGUUGCAUGACAUUUGCUUAAAAGGUGCAAUUGCAUCACUACCAGAUGGACCUGCGUUGUAUUAGCUAGUUGGUGGGGUAACGGCUCACCAAGGCGACGAUACAUAGCCGACCUGAGAGGGUGAUCGGCCACACUGGGACUGAGACACGGCCCAG
This 201-nucleotide ribosomal RNA is filed under the name uncultured Streptococcaceae bacterium. RNAcentral's name for it is "partial 16S ribosomal RNA". It matches the Rfam family "Bacterial small subunit ribosomal RNA", at positions 138 to 334 of the family's 1533-position model. The record is from RNAcentral. Lineage: Bacteria; Bacillati; Bacillota; Bacilli; Lactobacillales; Streptococcaceae.